RNAcentral lists this non-coding RNA (38 nucleotides) under Prorocentrum micans. The record is from RNAcentral. Lineage: Eukaryota; Dinophyceae; Prorocentrales; Prorocentraceae.
AUCACACUGUCAUGCCGUUACGUAGCGGGGGGUCCGUA